UGGUGGUGGUGGGUCUGGCUCUUCCUUUGGGCUAAUACAAUUUUCGAAAAAAAAUAUUGUUGUUGUCAGUGUAAUUGGCAGGAUAUUAGCAGGGGUUGUCCUGCCGCGUCCCAGUCAACGGAUUACGUUGGGCAUUAUGAGCAAAUUAAGUGUGAAGUGGCAUUUGAGAUUUACGCACACACACAGAACGAGGAAUACUCAGGGGCAAACACAGGGAUACUGAUGCUACGGAUGCGGAUGCGGAUACUGAUGCUGAUGCUGAUGCUGAGGCGCUUAGCGACUCUGUCCUGCCACUUUAAAGUCCAACACAAAACCGACAAAAACUAACAAAACAGGCACCGAACAAAGGGCCUGAACACAAACAGGGAAAGUCGACGAAAGGCGUCACAUGUCAAAGGCUCUUAGUCAUUUUUAGAUCUCCUUCCCUUGGCCCAAAAACAAACUAACAUUUAACCCCUGGCAGAGGACCACGAUGGGGCCCAACUACCAUCCCUCAGAACCAUCCCAUUCGCCCACUACUCAUCCUAGCCUGAGCUUAUCAUUUACACUUAAAGGCUCAGGCUCUGGCCAGACUCUAGCUCGGAAGGGGGGGCAACGCUGGGCACGUGCCGGGGCAUUAUUAACCGCAAAAUGCUCAUAAAGGAUCAAUUUGUGAGCACACGUGUCGGGACAAUGCUCCACCCCCAUGCAACCUCUCCCUCCAGUCUCCGGCCAAAGGGCAGGCAAGACAAAGCGUGAAGUUCACAUAAAUCAAAGCAACGGCUGCCAAAUGGACAAAGAUGAUGACAAGGAAGAGGCGACGGCAGACAGACACAAACGGCACUGCACUGCUGGAAGAAUAUGCAAUUUAAAGUGUCGCCCAUCUGCACAAAGGACAUCAUUAAACAUGCAAAAGGACCAUAGGCUUGGGUGUGUGGUGUGAAGCAAAGGAAACUCUUGCGAUUUAUGACAGAAGCUUGGGAUUUGGCCAGGCGAAGAGUGUGCUUAGGUGCUAUGAUUCAAAUUACCUGUAAAACUCAACGAACAAUGAAAGUUGAACACCAACAAGCGAUCAAAAGGAAUAAGCAGUAUUCGCAGAAAAUGUCACAUUUUGUCUAUAACAAUUCUACACUUUACCAUAAUAAUUAGACGCACAUUAAAAACAAAUUAUAUUCUGAAAGCGUUUUGGCGCCAAUAUUCUUUUGUUUUGGUUAUCGGCGCAGGGUUGCAAUUUAGCUUCUUCAGCAUCAGUAUCAGUAAC
Molecule: long non-coding RNA, 1240 nt
Filed under: Drosophila guanche
Lineage: Eukaryota; Metazoa; Arthropoda; Insecta; Diptera; Drosophilidae
Source: RNAcentral